AUACUUACCUGGACGGGGUCAAUGGGUGAUCAUGAAGGCCCAUGGCCUAAGUUGGUGGCCUCCAUUGCACUUGGGAGGUGCACCCGCUUAAGGUCUGCCCAAGAGGCAGAGCCUACGUCAUAAUUUGUGGCAGUGGGGGCCUGCGUUCGCGCGGCCCCCUC
Non-coding RNA from Citrus sinensis (sweet orange), 161 nucleotides. NCBI's taxonomy places the organism in Eukaryota, Viridiplantae, Streptophyta, Magnoliopsida, Sapindales, Rutaceae. The record is from Rfam.